UAACAAUCAGAACUGGUAAAGAUCACCUCUUUGAAAGUUGCAAUGAAAAUAUUUUUAUGAGCAACAUCCAAACACUAUUUAAUGUCAUUCCUCGACCAAGAGUGGAUAUUCUAACCAUAUAGCCCACCACGAAGGAAGGGAUGGUAAAAGAAUUACAGUUACAUGUCAAAUUAGCGUUAAUUGAAUUUCUAACAUAACCCGAUAGAAAAAUCUGUAGUCUUAACACAGAGUAUAUGUGGGCUGCCGUAAAAAUAAAAUAUAAAAUAUAUAUAUAUAUAUAUAUAUAUAUAUAUAAAAGCGUGGUCAUGGCAAAAAUAGUUUAAUCAGUUACGAUGGUUUUAGGUUUUCCACCUCUGGCCCACUUUAUAAAAAAGGAGAAAAUAUAACCAGAUUAUGUAUUAGCAGAUGUGCUUUAAUAAACAAAAAGAGAAGCCUAUCACACUAUUUACCAUAGAUGUAGUGCAAAGGUGUCUGGCAGUAAACAGGGUUAAGAUAUUCAGCCAGUGCUUUCUUGGUACAAAUAAGGUCUAUUUCUCUCCUGUAUAACACAUUUUUGCCUUAACAUGCCAAUAGUCCCUAUCCUGUUUGAAUGUGCCCAACUCUUCCAGUAAGGAGCAGAUGAUAGAUUUGUUGGCCUUUCCAAACUCAGAAGAUAAUGUUUUAAGUGCCAGAAAACAAACAAAAAGCUCAGACACCAGCGUGGAAGCAUUUCUUGGGGCUGGUGUGUAAUGUAAUAAAAAGAAAACAGCUUUCUAUGUACAGUAUUAGUCAGAAAUAUUUUUGCAAAAUGAUAAAAAAUAUGUCAUUGUGUAGGAAAUAAGAGGAUACGUAUAGAUUUUUUAAAUUAAAAAAAACAAAAAAUAUAAAAAAUUUAAUAGUGUCAAAUAUUGGCUUUUUUCUGUGUAAUUCAGUAACUAGCAAGUAGCUUUUAAAAUGUAGGUUUUAUUUAGGAUUUGCAGGCGUGCCUAUGUGUUUAUCUUGUUGAACAAGCUGCUUCCACAAGCUGCAGAUUCUUACAGUGUUUAAGAAGUCCACUGGGGUAGCUGUGUACAGAUCCCAUUGCAGUUUAUCCAGUAUAAUUCUUUCCAUCCUCAAUAUUUCAGCAGAGGAACACAUACUCCCACUCUGCACAGCGAGAUUCUUCACCGAUGGUAUUACCUGUAACGAGCAAACCAAUAAAUAAAUAAAGCUGAGCCAAACUUC
This is a long non-coding RNA of Spea bombifrons (plains spadefoot toad), 1203 nucleotides long. RefSeq lists it as uncharacterized. The record is from RefSeq and is a predicted model, not a curated record. NCBI's taxonomy places the organism in Eukaryota, Metazoa, Chordata, Amphibia, Anura, Pelobatidae. The transcript is spliced from 2 exons.